This 260-nucleotide ribosomal RNA is filed under the name uncultured soil bacterium. RNAcentral's name for it is "partial 16S ribosomal RNA". It matches the Rfam family "Bacterial small subunit ribosomal RNA", at positions 26 to 285 of the family's 1533-position model. The record is from RNAcentral.
AGGACGAACGCUGGCGGCGUGCUUAACACAUGCAAGUCGAACGGUGAUCCCUGCUUCGGUGGGGUGAUCAGUGGCGAACGGGUGAGUAACACGUGAGCAACCUGCCCUUGGCUUCGGGAUAACUCCGGGAAACCGGGGCUAAUACCGGAUGUGACGCGCCCGCGCAUGCGGUGUGUGUGGAAAGAUUUUUUGGCCAGGGAUGGGCUCGCGGCCUAUCAGCUUGUUGGUGGGGUGAUGGCCUACCAAGGCGACGACGGGUA